Molecule: ribosomal RNA, 240 nt
Filed under: uncultured Lactobacillus sp.
Lineage: Bacteria; Bacillati; Bacillota; Bacilli; Lactobacillales; Lactobacillaceae
Description: partial 16S ribosomal RNA
Rfam family: Bacterial small subunit ribosomal RNA
Source: RNAcentral
UAACCUGCCCAAGAGAUCGGGAUAACACCUGGAAACAGAUGCUAAUACCGGAUAACAACAGAUGAUGCCUAUCAACUGUUUAAAAGAUGGUUCUGCUAUCACUCUUGGAUGGACCUGCGGUGCAUUAGCUAGUUGGUAGGGUAACGGCCUACCAAGGCGAUGAUGCAUAGCCGAGUUGAGAGACUGAUCGGCCACAUUGGGACUGAUACACGGCCCAAACUCCUACGGGAGGCAGCAGCA